This is a long non-coding RNA of Mesocricetus auratus (golden hamster), 4329 nucleotides long. RefSeq lists it as uncharacterized. The record is from RefSeq and is a predicted model, not a curated record. The transcript is spliced from 5 exons. NCBI's taxonomy places the organism in Eukaryota, Metazoa, Chordata, Mammalia, Rodentia, Cricetidae.
GGGCAGGAAGUGCCGUGAAGAUGCUCCAGGCCUCAGGGGCGCUGCUCCCUAUCACUCCCAGUGAGAGGACAUCAAGGCCAUGGACUGAGGGUGCCACCAGUGCCCUAGCCCUCAGGGGUGUGCCAGCACACGCCAUUUAUAUCGUGCUCAGGAAUGAACCCAGAGCUUCAUGCAUGCCAGGCACACGCGCCACCACCUGAGGUCGUCUGUUCUUUGUCUUUUCCCGGGGCUGUGACAGACAGCCCCAUGUUUGGAUAGUUCUGCUGCUGAUGGGAUCAUGGACUCAUCUUGGGAUAGAGACAUGACAAUCUGGAAGACACUGUGUGCACAGGAACUCCCCUCCAUCAGAAGUUGCACAGUGCUAGCAAGAUCAGAAUAAAGAACCCUGGGAAACAUGAGUCCCGCUUCUGGCUUCUCAGGUAAUAAUUGCAAUGGUGGAUGUGCCUAGGGUAGCAAGGCCUUUCCUGUGUAGCUAACGUGCAGGGAAUAGCCAUGCUACUUCAGUAAUUUCCAAGAGUGUGGACCCCAGGAGCCUUGCUCUCCCGAUAAAGUUCAGGAGUGAGAUUGCUCCACCUACCCGUCUUGGAGGCUGAGAAGAGUUGAGAAAGAGAAGGCACAGCUGCCGAUGCUCCCAGAAAUGCACUGUCACCAUCCCCAUCCCAAACCGCCUGUGGACACAGACUGGAUUCAUCCGCUUUUAAAACAGUUGCUGCCAAAGCAAAACUACCAACUCUAGACUGUUUAACCACACAAGUUUAUUUCCUGUUCUUGGAAAAUUUGAGUCAGCUUACCCUACCCCUCGCCCAGGCUGAAGAUGCCUGAAGUUCACUGUAGGUUGCAGGAAACCACAUGGUGGCCCCUACAAUCUCAGCUCUGAGGGUCCAUGUGUCACAUAAACUCACAUCAUCAUGGGAGGACAGAGACAUAACACUCUUUGCUGCAGUAACACAGCUGUUGGGGUGACAGCUCUGUUCUAGUGUGUUUUGGUGAUCUAGUGACCCCUAGUGACUGUGUGGAGACAGCUCUGCUCUGUGAGUUCUGUGGAUCCAGGAACCUCAGUGACCUUAGGGACUCCAGUCACAGCAGGAAGGUUAGACUAAAUUCAAGUGUAUUUAUGGACAAGGGUUGGGGGCCAUUUUCUGUGGGAAGUAAGCAGCAUGGCCAUCAAGUUGGCUCCUGGAGAUAGCAUGUCUUCCAGACAGGUCUUGGAGAUUGGACCACAGGAAUAGAAUGGACGAUAGUGAGGGGGUGACAGAUUCUACAUGAGGUUGAUGGGACACUGUCCAAGUUAAUUUAGUCGCAGCCGUCAACAUAAUGGCUCUUUCUCUUAUUUCUUUAUACUUACUGACAUCUUUCCAAAGAUAUAACUUUGAUUUUAUUUGGAAUAGGCAUUUGAUUUUUGUUUUUAAUUAAAUUAAUUAAAAUUUUGACAAAGUUUCUCUGGCUCCCAGGCUGGUUUCCAACCCUUGAUCCUCCUGUCUCAGCCUCCCAGUUGCUAGGGUUAUAGGUAUAUAUCACUACUUAGGGCUAUUGUUUUUUAUUUUUUGGUUCUCUCAGACAAGUUCUUACUAUGUAACUCAGUUGGACUGAAACACUCAAUGUAGGUCAGGCUGGCAUUGAACUUGUGGCCAUACUCUUGUCUCAACAUCCUGAAUGUGGGGUUAGAUACAUGUGUUAUCAUGUUGACUUGUUGGUUUGCUUUAUAAGAAUUAAUUCUGGGGCUGGGAGACAGAUCUGUAGGUAAAGUGCUUGCAAGUAUGAGGAUCUGAGUUCAAUCCUUGGAACACAGGGCUAAAAAACUCAAGGCGUGGGGGUACAGGAUUAUAAUCUCACUGCUGAGAAAGUGGAGGCAGGUGUAGUCCUAGGGCUCACUGGACAGCCACCCCAGUCAAUCAGCCAUGAGAGACCCUAAGUCUCAAUAAAAAAAUUCCAAAGGGCACAGUACCUGAGAAAUUAUACCUAGUCACUCCAUACUCACACACACACAUACACACUCACACACACGCACACAUACACACACAUGCACCCUCACACAUGCACACAUUCACAUGCACACACAUGCACAUUCACACACAUGCACACACACACACACCAUAUCUGCUCUCUAGAACCCUUCUUCAGCACUGCUAUGACAUUUUUUUCAAGCGCAUUGCCUUGAAUUGUCUAUAAAUGUUACUGAGUGGAAAGCACUGGUCAGAGGAGGACUCUUCUCUAUGGACAGCAGAAACAAGGAAGUUGACCUUUAGAAGGAGACAACCAGCAAAUUUGUGUAAAACAGCUGAUCUUGACAGGAAGGAUGGAGCCAUGGAGAUCUGGCAAAACAGAGAAGGAGAAUGGCACAACGAAAUAUUGUUUUGCUUCCUCUCCCUCCUCCCCUUGCUCCUCCUCCUCCCCACCCCUCCUCUUUGUCAUUUUCCCAGUCCUCUUGACACAGGGUCUAGCUAUAUAUUCCUGGCUGACCUGACACCAGCUGUAGUCCACCUGGUCUCAGACUUAGAAAGAUCUUCCUGUCUCUCCCACACAAGGUCAGGAUCACCCCAUUAGUCUCUUCUGCAUUCUUCAAUUCUAAGAAUGAGGAUGUUGACCUGGUCAGAAUGUCUGAGAGGAAUUAGAAUACAAAGAGUGAUGUCAUGAAGGUCAAGGCUAGGAUAAAUAAUGCAGAGUGACCUUGAGCUGCUGGUGCUGCUGCCUGAUGCUCAGUUGGGAAUCUGAUGAGGCAUGUAGGAAGCCAAGCACUCAGGCUGGACUCUCUCCAUGCUUAGACACUGAUGCCUGGAAGGAGACACCUGAAAUCAGGAUCUUGGAAAGCGGGUGGUUACCCUGAUGCCCUGGGAAGGAGAUCAGAGGAAUCUGGUGUCUUGAUGCAACUGUCUCCCCCUUCCCAGAAUAAGCAGUAGGACAAAGCUGCAAGCAGAGCAUUUGUGUCCACUAACCCAUGAUUCUCUUAAAAUCAGGGCCCACACUGGGUAUGCUCUUAUGCCUUGCUCAUGACAGGUAGAGUAAAUAGAACUACACAUUUGACAGCACGCUUCAGAGACUAUAGAAACUAGCGACUUAUUUUUAGAUCCUGCCAAAGUCUGGUGAGGUCUGCACUCCACAGAGCCAGGGUUCCAGGCUUCUGCUGUCUUCCUAUUGGGUAAGCUCUCAAGAUUUGACCUCGCCUGUCCGUCUAAGAUGGUCAUUCGUGCAAGAGUCAGGGAGGGCAGCAAGGUGAUGGCAAGAGCUUUCCCUGGGGUGGAGCUGAUUCACACUCACCCACAACUGUCUGGCCACAUGAUCAAACAAAGACACAGAAACACAUAGAGUUGCCAUGGAGAAAAGAAGAAACAGACAAGAUACCUCUUGCCAAGCUCUACCCUGCAGUGAGAAGCAAAUAUGUCAUUGAGAAACAACCUGCAGAUACUAGAAGAGGAAGUGUGUGUGUGUGUCUGUGUGUGUGUGUGUGUGUCUGUGUGUCUGUGUGUGUGUGUGUCUGUGUGUGUGUGUGUCUGUGUGUGUGUGUGUGUGUGUAGAUAUAUCACAUGCUCACCACAACAAUUCCACAGCUACAAAUACAUGUAACGUGCCUAGCAGGGCAUCUCUGGACCUGUGGCACCCUACCUGUGUCUCUUCAGGGUCUUCCAUUGCGAUCCAGGCCUCUCCAAGCAGCAGGAUAGAUGUAGGUCCCUCUCAGUGAGUGGAGACAGGUUCUGUGAGCAAACACGUACUGUGUGCUGGAUGACAGACUGAAUAAAUAGAAGAAAAGGAAGUGGAGACCCAACAUUCACCUCUUUCUGCUCUCUACUCAUGGUUACAGCAUCACCAUCCACCUCAUACCCACCCUGUGCCACUUCCACAAUGCCCACCUAAAUCCCCUCAAGCCAUGAGCUAAAAGAAUCCCCUCCUUCCUGACGCUUUUGUCAUUGUUUGAUCACAGUAAGAUGAAAUUAACUAAUACAAGGCCUUUAGGGGAAAGGAAGAAAAGAAGAGAAAGACAGACAGGUGAUAGUGUCUAGUAAGUGCAUGUCAUCUUGAUACAAACUAUCGACUCCGGGAAGAAAGAAUCUCUAUUGAGCAACUGGCUCCAUCAGAUUGACCCAGUGGACACAUCCCUACAAUAUUUCCUUGGUUGAAAAUUGAUAUGGAAGAGCUCAUCCCACGAUUGUGAUGCUACCAUGUCCUGGGUUCUAUAAGACAGCAGGCUGAGCAGCCUCUAGAAGAAGCCAGUAAGCACUGCUCCCCUUGGCCUCUGCUUCAGUUCCUGCCUCCAGGUUCCUGCUGAGUUCUUGCCCACUUCCUUCAAAACGGACCAUGACAUGGAAGCCAAAUAAAUGUUUUCCUUGCACCAGA